CCUACGGGAGGCAGCAGUGAGGAAUAUUGGUCAAUGGGCGAGAGCCUGAACCAGCCAAGUCGCGUGAAGGAUGACGGCCCUACGGGUUGUAAACUUCUUUUGUCAGGGAGCAAUUGAGUCCACGUGUGGGCUUAGCGAGAGUACCUGAAGAAAAAGCAUCGGCUAACUCCGUGCCAGCAGCCGCGGUAAUACGGGGGAUGCGAGCGUUAUCCGGAUUUAUUGGGUUUAAAGGGUGCGUAGGCGGAAUAUCAAGUCAGCGGUAAAAAUUCGGGGCUCAACCCCGUCGUGCCGUUGAAACUGAUGUUCGUGGGUGGGCGAGAAGUAUGCGGAAUGCGUGGUGUAGCGGUGAAAUGCAUAGAUAUUGGGAAGAACACCAGCGGCGAAGGCGAUUCACUGGACUGUAACUGACACUGAGGCACGAAAGCGUGGGGAGCAAACAGGAUUAGAUACCCCUGUAGUC
This 460-nucleotide ribosomal RNA is filed under the name uncultured bacterium. RNAcentral describes it as "partial 16S ribosomal RNA". It matches the Rfam family "Bacterial small subunit ribosomal RNA", at positions 338 to 795 of the family's 1533-position model. The record is from RNAcentral.